This 809-nucleotide ribosomal RNA is filed under the name uncultured Bacteroidota bacterium. RNAcentral describes it as "bacterial SSU rRNA". It matches the Rfam family "Bacterial small subunit ribosomal RNA", at positions 72 to 883 of the family's 1533-position model. The record is from RNAcentral. Lineage: Bacteria; Pseudomonadati; Bacteroidota.
CACGGUAGCAAUACUGGUGGCGACCGGCGCACGGGUGCGUAACACGUAUACAAUCUGCCUCUUACAGGGGGAUAGCCCGGAGAAAUCCGGAUUAAUACCCCAUAACAAUGGGUUUGGCAUCAAACCUAUUUAAAAGUUCCGACGGUAAGAGAUGAGUAUGCGUCUGAUUAGCUAGUUGGUGAGGUAACGGCUCACCAAGGCGACGAUCAGUAGGGGAUCUGAGAGGAUUAACCCCCACACGGAUACUGAGACACGGAUCCGACUCCUACGGGAGGCAGCAGUAAGGAAUAUUGGACAAUGCCCGCAAGGGUGAUCCAGCCAUGCCGCGUGCAGGAAGACGGCCCUAUGGGUUGUAAACUGCUUUUGUACCGGAGAAAACCUCCCUACGUGUAGGGAGCUGAUAGUAUGGUAAGAAUAAGCAUCGGCUAACUUCGUGCCAGCAGCCGCGGUAAGACGAAGGAUGCAAGCGUUAUCCGGAUUCAUUGGGUUUAAAGGGAGCGUAGGUGGUCUUAUAAGUCAGUGGUGAAAUCUCGCAGCUUAACUGCGAAAUUGCCAUUGAUACUGUAGGACUUGAGUACAGUUGCCGUUGGCGGAAUAUGACAUGUAGUGGUGAAAUACAUAGAGAUGUCAUAGAACACCGAUUGCGAAGGCAGCUAACGAAACUGUAACUGACACUGAGGCUCGAAAGUGCGGGGAUCAAACAGGAUUAGAUACCCUGGUAGUCCGCACUGUAAACGAUGAUUACUCGCUGCUAGAUGGUAACAUUUAGUGGCUUAGCGAAAGCGAUAAGUAAUCCACCUGGGGAGUAC